This 531-nucleotide long non-coding RNA is filed under the name Salvia miltiorrhiza (redroot sage). Its description in RNAcentral is "long non-coding RNA (SMIL_LNC006549)". Lineage: Eukaryota; Viridiplantae; Streptophyta; Magnoliopsida; Lamiales; Lamiaceae. The record is from RNAcentral.
UCCCAUCUAUUUUUAGAUACUCCCUCCGUCCAACUAAAAGUGGCCACAUUUCCAUUUUGGUUUGUCCCACUAAAAGUGGCCACUUUCCUAAAAUAGAAAUAUUUAAUUUAAUUAAAUCAAUUAAUUAAUUUAAUUUAUUUUUUAUUAACCUAAACAUUCUUUAAAUAAAAACACACACACAAAACACACACACAAACACGCACAUAGAUCCAUAAUCUCCUCCUUCUCUCUUUUUCUCUGGCGCUGCUGUUGUUCGCCGACCGGCUGCCGCCUCGCCCCUUCACUUCCCUCACCCUCGCCUUUGCUCUCUGCUCUCUCAUUCUCUCUCUCGUUGCGUGCGCACACACACACGCCCAACAGCGCCGCCCAACACAAAACCUCUCCCUUCUCUUUUCUUCUCCGGCGAGGUGGUCAACGUUAACAGAAGAGGCGGAUCUCCGCCGUCAGAUCGCUCAGAUCCAGGGAACCAAUGGCUAUUGUGCCGAAUUUGGCCUCGAUCUAGAGGACGGACUUGGAGUAGAGGAGGUGAAA